GCUGAUCCGUGGAGAUGGCCUUACCGGGAGGUGUAAAUGUCCAACAGGGAGGGGAGAGGGGGGCCGAUGAUCUUCUGUGCUGCCUUAACAACCCUCUGCAUUCUGUCCCUGUCAG
This is a long non-coding RNA of Thalassophryne amazonica, 115 nucleotides long. RefSeq lists it as uncharacterized. Lineage: Eukaryota; Metazoa; Chordata; Actinopteri; Batrachoidiformes; Batrachoididae. The record is from RefSeq and is a predicted model, not a curated record. The transcript has 3 exons.